This 27-nucleotide small RNA is filed under the name Bombyx mori (domestic silkworm). RNAcentral describes it as "ovarian small RNA-7095". The record is from RNAcentral. Lineage: Eukaryota; Metazoa; Arthropoda; Insecta; Lepidoptera; Bombycidae.
UCAUGGCGGACGUCAUUCGCUGACAUU